CAGUAAAGUAGAAUGUGAACUUGGGGACAUGGACUGUGAGACACAUCAUCUGAAGGGCAUUGAUAGUGCCGCUAUAAAUAGAACGAAGCAUGUUCCAGCAGCAUUGCUGAUGGCAAGGCAGUUAGCUUCCCAGACACCACCUCUGGGCGUUACCAUGACUCAUGGGAGUGACAGGUAGCUCUUUUGUGGGUGCAGUGGGUUGAAUGGUGGCCCCUAAAAAGAUAUGUUUACCUCCAAAUCCCUAGAACUUGUGCAUGUUACUUUAUUUGGAAAAUUGAUCUUUGCAGAUGUAAUGAAGUUAAGAAUCUUAAUAUAAGAUUAUCCUGGAAUACCUGACUGGGACCUAAAUCCAAUGACAACCGUCCUUAUAAGAAAAGUGGAGACACGUGGAGGCAAAGGUGCUGUGAACAUGAAGCUAGAGAUAGCAGUGAUGUGGCCACAAGCCAAGGAAGCCCGGGAAUGCCAACAGCCACCAAAAGCUGGAAGAGGUAGGGAGGGAUUCACCUCUAGAGACUCCAGAGGGUCAUGGCCCUGCUGACACCUUGAUUUCGGAAUCCCAGCCUCCAAAAUGGAACAGGGCCAAGGGAGGUGGUCAGCAGAAAUGAAGCACUGUCCGGAUGGUGUGAAAGUGAUCUAUGCUGUGGUCAGAACAGUGGAAGGCCAUGAACUUUGCCGGCGAGUGCCUUUGUUCUGAGUCAAAGUGUUCCUCGGUAUGUGAAGGACAUCAGGUCCAAAGGCUGCUAGUGACUGAACAGAUAACGUGAAUUCCAUCAAAGCUUGACUUCUGCUCAUCCCUACCUCUCCUCCCGAAGAUAGUACGGUAAGUGUGGCAUCCAGGCAAGUGUCUGAUUUUCUGUUUCUUCUGUUCAAUUGAGGAACCAACUCUGUUCCUACAGAGAAAACCACAGAAUGAUUAUUUUGGAGUGGUAACCAUUUCUGGCUUUAGUACUUUAGUUCCCAUUUAUUGCUGCGUGUAUCCUUGGUUUCCUUCUGUGUGGUUGCUGGUCCUAAAAUCUCCAUUUGCUUCCAAGUUGGUCAAUUGGUCAGGCCCUUUCUGUCUUGAAUGUGGCCAGACUGUGACUUUAAUUUCAACUAAUACAAUAUGCCAAAGGUGAUAGGAUGUCCAUUCUGGAUUAUAUUACCCAAGACAGAAGCUUACAGAGCUUAAAUGUUCACCUUGCUGGGAGACCCUGUCCUUGCUGGCUGUGAGGAAGCAGGCUGCCAUAUUGUGAGCACGGAGAGGAAAGGUGGCAAGGAACUGAGAGCAGCCAACAGCUGACAGCCAGGAAGAAUCUGAGGCCACAAGGUGCUGAAUGCUGUCAACAACCACAUGAGCUUGGAAGCAUGUUCUUCCCCAGGCAAGCAGAGGAAUGAGAACCCAGCCCUGGCUGGCACUUGAUUGCAGCUUGCUGGUGAGACCCUGACACACAGGACCCAGCUAAACAUACCUGGACUCCUAAUCCACUGAAACUGUGAGGAAAUAAAUGCAUGUUCUUUUAAGCUGCUGAUUAAGUUGUUAUACAGCAAUAGAUAAUUAAUACUUAAUUAUCUAAUUAAUACAUAUUAAUAUUUUGGCAACAUACACUAUGUUCCUAAGGUACCUCGGAAAAUCCUCAGAACCAUGUGUUGCAAAUGGCAAUGCUGUGGUACAAUGGGGUCUCCUAAACACUGAUAAUGGGUGAUGCAAUCACUUUGCAAAACAAUUUGACAAGAGCUAGUAUAGGUGAGACUGUUCGUCUCCUGUGACUCCUAGAAAUAUGCCCCAGGAAAACUCUUGCCCAUGGUACCAGGUAACAAAUUGGAGGCAGCAUUGUAUUAACAACAAAUUGAACACAACCCAAGUGUUCACCAACUGGAGAAUGGACAAAUCAAUUGUGAUUCUUCAUAAAACAGCUAUAGCAGUGAAAAUGAAGCCCUCUUCAUUAGGAAAGGCUUUCCUCUUAAAGCCACUGACCAUGUCUUAUUCAUCUCUGAGUUUUCUCAUCUGCAAAAUAGGAUAAUAAUAGUGCCUACUGCUUAGGGCUAUAAAUUAGACACUUUAAGUCGUGAGCUUAACACUGUGCCUGACAUUUAGUAAGUAAAUGCUCAUUAAAUGCUACCUCUAAAUCUCCAGGGCUUCGCACAGUACCUGGCACAUACCUUAUAAAUAUUAAUUGAAUAAAUGAUUAAAUGCAAGGAUUGAUGCAGAAGGCCAGUACAUCAACACCUCAUGUCAAAAGAAGAAGUGUCUGAAGUUAUCAUCCCUCAAGGUCUGCCAGAAGGAACCAAACAUGUAGAAAACAGACCUCCCAAGGUGAUUGAGCAAACCCAGGCAGAAGCUGGCCUCAUUAAGGGGGUGUCUGCUAGAGGCUGCUUCUUGGUUCUACCCACUCUGGGCACCAGGUUCUUGACUGGAAUAGAUAAUAGAUAUGCGGAUUUCAGCCAAGUGCAGUGGCUCACACCUGUAAUCCCAGCACUUUGGGAGGCCGAGGUGGGCAGAUCACUUGAGGUCAGGAGUUCACGACCACCCUGGCCAACAUGGUGAAACCCUGUCUCUACUCAAAAUACAAAAAUGAGUCUGGUGUGAUGGCGCAUGCCUGUAACCCCAACUACUCAGGAGGCUCACUUGAACCUGGAGAGCAGAGGUUGCAGUGAGCCGAGAUCGACCCGUUGCACUCCAGCCUGGGCAACACAGCAAGACUCCAUCUCAAAAAAGAAAAGAAAAGAAAAACAUAUGCAGAUUUCACCCAGGGUUCUUUAAAUUCGGGGCUUUAUAAACCCAUACCUUGUGUUAAGAACAACAAGCAAUGUACAUACCUAUAGACAAUGAAAUAUAUACGAUAAUCGGCAGAUCCUGAUAUGACUUUUUGAUUCCAUCGUUUGAAGGAUCAGAUAAUGAUAAUAACAUUCAAUGCUGCAUUUGCUCUUUCUCUCAUUCACUAUGGCUUCAUGCAUUCUACCCACAAAGAUUUAUUGAGGACAACCCUAUGCCAGUCACUGGGUUAAGCCCUGGAAUACUGCAGUGAGCUCAACAGGCCUGCUCACUCUCCUCAGGCUUGCUUAAAGACAGAUCUGGUCUGAACCUCUUCUACAUGUGCUGAGCAGCCCAUACCCUCCCUGCUAGCUGUUUGUGCUAUGCUGGAAUGUCUUGCUGUUGUUGCUGGGUCCUUAUAUUCUCUGCAAAGUCUUUAUCCUUUGCUUGUGUACUUGCUUCAAGAAGAUUCUUUAGGUCGUGAGCCUUGACAUCAAGUAAAUUUUGAGAAAGGCUUUUCUCCCUCCAGUGAGCUCCUUCCCAUUGGGCUGGCAAGUGAUUUUGUAACUAAUCGCCUCUUUCACCUGGGUGUUCAUGUUUUCUUUUCUGAUGUUUUCUCUGAGGGAUGUGAGCUGGGAAGAUAGGAGGGAGUUUUAUGGUUAAAAGGUCUUUUAUGGCUUGGAACACGAGCUUUAACUGGAUCCUGCAAUGAAUAACACCCCACACUUGCAGACAUUGUGAAAGGUAGAUGGUGGGUAUCUGACCGAGUAUAUUCCAUCAGCAGCUCCUGAGUAUUAGAGUGUGGUGAGCUGAUCACCAACACAGCACAGAGAGAGAGAGAGAGAGAGAAGAAGAAAGCCCAGCUACAAACCAUUUGACAUAUCCCCACAUGGCCAGGGAGGAUCAGCUCCUGACACUCUAGCCUAGUCUACAGCUACUGCUUAUUUUUUUUUUAGCAAAAGCUUUGGAUCCACCAAGUGGAAUUAUAAACAAUGAGAUUUGCUUUAAUGUUUUCUUUUUAAAUAAAAUAAUGCAAUGAGCAGCCAUGAACCUACCACCCAACAUAAUAAAUAAAAUGUUAUAAAUAUCAUUGAAGCUCUCUCUGAGUAGGGUUGCCAGAUUUAGCCAAAAACAAACAACAGCAGUGAGAAAACAUGCCCAACUAACUUUGAAUUUCAGAUAAACAAUGCAUAAUUGUUUAGUGUAAGUAUGUCCCAUGCAAUAUCUGGGACAUACUUAUACUAAAAAAUGUAUUCAUUGUUUAAAUUCAAAGUUACCUGGGCCUCCAGGUAAUGGCAGGCAACCAUUACCCUAAAGUUGGCUUUAUCAUUCCAUUGCUGUUGUUGAUAGCCUUACACAUUUAUAUGUAUCAAUAAACAAAGUAUUGCUUUCCUUGCUUGUUUUCCAAGCUUAUUAACAUAUCAUAUUUCAUGAAUUUUCCUCUUAACAUUCUAUAUCUGACAUUCCAUUUCACUGCUGAUUCAUUUAUUUUCAUCACUAUAGCUGUUUUAUGAAGAAUCACAUUGAUUUGUCCAUUCUCCAGUUGGUGAACACUUGGGUUGUGUUCAGUUUGUUGUUAGUACAAUGCUGCCUCCAACUUGUUACCUGGUUCUUAUUUGCAAGAGUUUUCCGAGGGCACAUGCCUAGGAGUCAUAGGAGAUGCGCAGUCUCAGCUAUACUAGCUUACAUCACAUCAAAUUGUUUUGCAAAGUGAUUGCAUCACCCAUUAUCACUGUUUAGGAGACCUUGUUGUACCACAGCUUGUCAACACUUAAAUCUGUCAGAUUUUUAAUUUGUACCACAGCUUGUCAACACUUAAAUCUGUCAGAUUUUUAAUUUGUACCAAUCUGGUGGGCAUAAAACUA
This 4596-nucleotide long non-coding RNA is filed under the name Homo sapiens (human). RNAcentral's name for it is "HSALNT0009774". The stretch from base 3927 to 3978 matches the Rfam family "mir-1302 microRNA precursor family". The record is from RNAcentral. Lineage: Eukaryota; Metazoa; Chordata; Mammalia; Primates; Hominidae.